Echinops telfairi (small Madagascar hedgehog) is the source of this 835-nucleotide long non-coding RNA. RefSeq lists it as uncharacterized. NCBI's taxonomy places the organism in Eukaryota, Metazoa, Chordata, Mammalia, Afrosoricida, Tenrecidae. The transcript has 3 exons. The record is from RefSeq and is a predicted model, not a curated record.
ACAACCGCCCUGCCCGCCAGCUGCCGGGGGGAGGGGUGAAACUCUAUCCUCCCCCCUCUCCCCCAGCCCAGACACCAGCCCAGGGUCCAUUGGGGGCCAGGCUGCUGGGAAAGGGAGCUGCAGCAAGGGCCGGGAGGGGGCCAGAGUCAGACAGCGCCCAGCCUGAGGAGGAGCCGCCCGGGGCCCCAGGAGGACCCCUGGAUGACAGUCAAGACCUGACCCUGCCCUUCAAGGCCCCGAGUCGGGCCAAGCUGACCAGCGGAACAAGAGGAGCGUGUGCAGCCACUGCCCCAAGUGAGGAGGCCCGACCCCCAGAGGCAGAUCCUGCCCCUGGGCCUCAGGGCCUGCACCUUCGCUCCCAGGGACAGCUGCUACUGGACUAUCUCCUAUUGAACCCCUCAGACCCAGAGGCCUGACAUCAGGGAAUCGGGGAGAAGUCCCCCAGACAGGUAGAGCUAUCGCUGAUUCACAGGGGAGCAGGGCGAGCCCAGAGUGAGUCAUCCCCUGGUACUGAGUCAUCUAGGCUUGGCUCUGGAAACUUCUAAAGCAGUUGCCUUUAGGAAGCUUUGUCUCAGUAUUUUUCCACUCGACUGAAGGUUGUUGGUUCAAACCCACCCAAGGGUGCUGUGGAAGAAAGGCUGGGGUGCUGUGGAAGAAAGGCUGGCUUCCAUGAAGAAUUCUGUGAAGCUCUGUUCUGUAACAUAAGGGGCUUCUAUGAGGUGGAAUCAACUCCGACACAGGUUUUAGAUUCCAAGUAAAGGAAAGCAAGAUCUUAUAGCUGUCAGAAAUUCAAGACCUUGUUAGCAAAGUAAAACAAGGGAACCCAUAAAGGUGU